AGCUUUGUGCAGUGGCGGUAUCGUAGCCAAUGAGGUUUAUCCGAGGCACAAUUAUUGCUAAUUGGAAACUUUUUAUUGUCAACAG
Molecule: small nuclear RNA, 85 nt
Organism: Panthera pardus (leopard)
Lineage: Eukaryota; Metazoa; Chordata; Mammalia; Carnivora; Felidae
Gene: U4
Rfam family: U4 spliceosomal RNA
About the family: U4 small nuclear RNA (U4 snRNA) is a component of the major U2-dependent spliceosome. The structure of U4 snRNA from yeast and human has been reported.
Source: Ensembl